This 1445-nucleotide ribosomal RNA is filed under the name uncultured Bordetella sp. RNAcentral's name for it is "partial 16S-23S ribosomal RNA intergenic spacer". It matches the Rfam family "Bacterial small subunit ribosomal RNA". The record is from RNAcentral. Lineage: Bacteria; Pseudomonadati; Pseudomonadota; Betaproteobacteria; Burkholderiales; Alcaligenaceae.
AGUCGAACAGCAGCACGGACUUCAGUCUGGUGGUGACGAACGGGUAGGCAAUGUAUCGGAACGUGCUAGUAGCGGGGAUAACUACGCGAAAGCGUAGCUAAUACCGCAUACGCCCUUCGGGGGAAAGCGGGGGACCUUCGGGCCUCGCACUAUUAGAGCGGCCGAUAUCGGAUUAGCUAGUUGGUGGGGUAACGGCUCACCAAGGCGACGAUCCGUAGCUGGUUUGAAGGGGACGACCAGCCACACUGGGACUGAGACACGGCCCAGACUCCUACGGGAGGCAGCAGUGGGAAUUUUGGACAAUAGGGAAACCCUGAUCCAGCCAGCCCGCGUGUGAUGAAGGCCUUCGGGUUGUAAAGGCAUUUUGGCAGGAAAGAAACGGCGGGAUAAUACCCCGUGCAACUGACAGUACCACCAGAAUAAGCACCGGCUAACUACGUGCCAGCAGCCGCGGUAAUACGUAGGGUGCGACGUUAAUCAGGAAUUACUGGGCGUAAAGCGUGCAGGCGGUUUUCGGAAAGAAGAUGUGAAAUCCCAGAGCUUAACUGGAACAUUUUUUAACUACCGAGCUAGAGUGUGUCAGGGAGGUGGGAAUUCCGCGUGUAGCAGUGAGAGAUGCGUACAGAUAUGCGGAGGAACACCGAUGGCGAAGGCAGCCUCCUGGGAUAACACUGACGCUCAUGCACAGCGUGGGGAGCAAACGGGAGUUAGAUACCCUGGUAGUCCACGCCUAAACGAUGUCAACUAGCUGUUGGGCCUUCAGCCUUAGUAGCGCAACUAACGCGUGAAGUUGACCGCCUGGGAGAUACGAUCACGAUUAAACAUCAAAGGGAUUGACGGGGACCCGCACAAGCGGUGGAUGAUGUGGAUUAAUUCGGUGCAACGCGAAAAACCUUGCCUACGCUUGACAUGUCUGGAAUCCCGAAGAUUUGGGAGUGCUCGCAAAGAGAACCGGAACACAGGUGCUGCAUGGCUGUCGUCAGCUCGGUGAUGGGUGAUCGACAGUUGGGGUCCCUGGCGGGCGCAGCCACUAUCGAUGCGCUGCGAAGGGCACUCUAAUAAGACUGCCGGUAAUAAACGGAGGAAGGUGGAAUGAUCAAGUCAUCCACCAUGUAUAUGGUAGGGCUACGUCAUACAAUGUGAUUAAAGGGACCGAAAGUAUCUGUACGAAGAUAUCAACUCGUCUUAGUCCCGGAUCGCGUGCUGCUCGGCUGCGUGAGUGGAUUAGCUCGUGUCGCGGAUCAACAUAUUCGGCGGUGAAUACGUUCUUGGUGCCUUACACGCACCGCCCGUCAUGUGCGUGGGUUAAGGUUUUACUUCAAAGUGGUUAGCAGCCUAACCGCUAAGGAGGGCGAUUACCACGGUAGGAUUCAUGAUGAGAUUGAAGUCGUAACAAGGUAGCCCUGUUCGCUGCCCUUUAUAGUCAUACGGUGAUGGCAUUGGCG